AGAGUUUGAUCCUGGCUCAUAACGAACGCUGGCGGCAGGCCUAACACAUGCAAGUCGAGCGCUACCUUCGGGUGGAGCGGCGGACGGGUUAGUAACGCGUGGGAAUAUACCCUUCACUAUGGAAUAGCCUCGGGAAACUGAGAGUAAUACCAUAUACGCCCUUCGGGGGAAAGAUUUAUCGGUGAAGGAUUAGCCCGCGUAAGAUUAGAUAGUUGGUGGGGUAAUGGCCUACCAAGUCUACGAUCUUUAGCUGGUUUUAGAGGAUGAUCAGCAACACUGGGACUGAGACACGGCCCAGACUCCUACGGGAGGCAGCAGUGGGGAAUCUUAGACAAUGGGCGAAAGCCUGAUCUAGCCAUGCCGCGUGAGUGAUGAAGGUCUUAGGAUCGUAAAGCUCUUUCGCUAGGGAUGAUAAUGACGGUACCUAGUAAAGAAGCCCCGGCUAACUCCGUGCCAGCAGCCGCGGUAAUACGGAGGGGGCUAGCGUUGUUCGGAGUUACUGGGCGUAAAGCGUACGUAGGCGGAUCAGAAAGUAUGGGGUGAAAUCCCAGGGCUUAACCCUGGAACUGCCUCAUAAACUCCUGGUCUUGAGUUCGAGAGAGGUGAGUGGAAUUCCAAGUGUAGAGGUGAAAUUCGUAGAUAUUUGGAGGAACACCAGUGGCGAAGGCGGCUCACUGGCUCGAUACUGACGCUGAGGUACGAAAGUGUGGGGAGCAAACAGGAUUAGAUACCCUGGUAGUCCACACCGUAAACGAUGAAUGCCAGUCGUCGGGCAGUAUACUGUUCGGUGACACACCUAACGGAUUAAGCAUUCCGCCUGGGGAGUACGGUCGC
This 834-nucleotide ribosomal RNA is filed under the name uncultured bacterium. RNAcentral describes it as "bacterial SSU rRNA". It matches the Rfam family "Bacterial small subunit ribosomal RNA", at positions 8 to 889 of the family's 1533-position model. The record is from RNAcentral.